UACGGAGAGGGCUAGCGUUAUUCGGAAUUAUUGGGCGUAAAGGGCGCGUAGGCUGAUUAAUAAGUUAAAAGUGAAAUCCCGAGGCUUAACCUUGGAAUUGCUUUUAAAACUAUUAAUCUAGAGAUUGAAAGAGGAUAGAGGAAUUCCUGAUGUAGAGGUAAAAUUCGUAAAUAUUAGGAGGAACACCAGUGGCGAAGGCGUCUAUCUGGUUCAAAUCUCACGCUGAGGCGCGAAGGCGUGGGGAGCAAACA
Molecule: ribosomal RNA, 251 nt
Filed under: Wolbachia endosymbiont of Oxyopes salticus
Lineage: Bacteria; Pseudomonadati; Pseudomonadota; Alphaproteobacteria; Rickettsiales; Anaplasmataceae
Description: partial 16S ribosomal RNA
Rfam family: Bacterial small subunit ribosomal RNA
Source: RNAcentral